Long non-coding RNA from Panthera uncia (snow leopard), 5923 nucleotides. RefSeq lists it as uncharacterized. The record is from RefSeq and is a predicted model, not a curated record. The transcript is spliced from 4 exons. NCBI's taxonomy places the organism in Eukaryota, Metazoa, Chordata, Mammalia, Carnivora, Felidae.
GGCUUUGAGCCCAAAGUCCAGACUUUCACCUUGACGGUUGGCUCAGCCUUCAGUAACCACACAGCCAUGCAUGGCGAUUCGAUUUUCUGACCAAAUUCUUACUCAACUUUUUCAAGGCAGUCAUGGCUGCCUGCCUGAGCCCUCUGGCGUGGUUUCACAACCUCACUGGACUCUCCCUGCCUUAGCUGAAAAGAACCCUCUCGUGGGAAUUUGGCAGACCCAGCUGAGGGAAAUUGGGGGGCCAAAGCACUUCCCGUCGCCUCACAUGGUCCAGCCCCUGCAAGGCAACUCUGACCCCAGGGUGCAGCAGCCCUUGGUUGCAACUGUCCCAAAGCAGCGUCUACUCCUAAGACUGGAACCACAUCGGCCUCUCUAUCCCAGGGCUGGGGCCACACCUUGAGGAAGAGGGAAAGCCAUGUUCAUGGCUCAAAGAGACAGUGCAAAGGUGUCAUUUAGAGUGGCUUCCCCUUGGUCACAAACGUGUUUAUCUUUAAGAAAUAUGAGCUUGUCUUCCCUACCCCUUAAAUCCUUCAGGCUUGGCCGUCUUUCUUCUGAGGUUCUAUCUCAGCUGUGCAAGUUGGGGCUUCCUCUCUUAUUUGAUUGUGUCUUUAAUAAAACCCUGGGCUAAAGGCCCAUCUGCUCCGAGUUGGCUUUGGGCCCUGGGUCUUAGUCUGGCCACUCUUGGUGCUCCUGGGACAGGGCAUAGUGUGCUCCUCUCUCAUUCAUGCAUUCAUUCAUCCAUUCGUUCAUUUAAUAUCUGUUGAGCUCCUAUGUGCCAGGCACUAGCUAGGUCCUGGGGAUACCAAAAGUGUCAGGCAAAUAGAAACGGGUGCUGAUCCUUAGAGAACACCUUGUCUAACGAAGGGGGCUCUUGGAUGUGGGGAGGUAUGUGAGUGAGCCAUGCAAGCUGGGGAUAAAAGUCAAGAGGCUGUGAGAACUUGUAGAUCGGGUUUGAAAUUUUCGUGUUUUGUCCUAGAAGCCUCAGGGAACCAUGGAAAGAUUUUAAGCAGCGGAGAGAAAUGGUCACAUUUGGGUUUUUGGAAAAAGACCCUAGCUGCUGUGUGGUUUUUGGGAAAAGACCCCAGCUUCUAACGCCAGUUAGAAGGGGGAGGGGAGUGGGGAUCGGUCAGGGAACCCAUCAGGCAAGGCCAGUGUCUAGGAUUGGAGGGGCUUGGGGAGAAGGGGUUGAGAACAUAACCCACGUAGAGGAGGAUGGCAGACCAUGGGUGUAGAUUGCAGAGGCAGUUGACCAACACUGAAGGCAGACACUGGAGCAGGGACACAACUGCCAGGUGUGGAGCGUAUUGAGUUGAGGUGCCUUUGAAAGGAGGCGAUAUUCAGGUCAAGAGCUCAUGGGAGAGGUGUGGCCUAUAGAUAGCCAUUGGUGAAUUAUCUGCCAUAUGUAGUUACUCCAUAGGAAUGGUGGAACUUGCCAGGGAGACAGACUAGAAAAGCGAGGGUGCCUUGGGGUCAGGGAGGUGCGUCUGUCCAAGGAGGUUGAGGAGGAAUGGCCAGAGAAGUAGGAGGGAUGCCAGGGAGUGGUAGGGUCACAAUAGCCUUGAAGGAGUAACUCUGUGUUUCUCCACGACCAUUUGCCUUAAUCACAAACACAUCUCCUUCAUCCUGAAUGUUAGAUGUAGGGAGCAGGGGGCAAACUAGUCUGGUGCUAAUGCCCUCUGGAAAGGGCAUGUGGGCCCUCAGCCUGGGCAGGAGGGCCAAGGAGGAUUCUGGCAAACUCUGUGACAUUAGGUGGUAACGGCAGGCACAUCAGAGAGUUGGGGACAGGCAUGGAGAAGCUUGUGGCAGUUCAAGGCUGGGUGGGAGAAUUUUCUCUGUCUACAGGUCCAUGGACUGUGAGUUCAGGGACAUUAUAAAGAAAGAGAACAAGGAGACCAAGGGACAGGAGAUGCGGGGUCUCUUUGGAGGUUGUGGGGACUAACAAGCUCGAUUUGGGAGAGGUAGUGAGAGGGAAGAGCAAGGCCAGUUCUGACCACUGGCUUCCAAGAAGGCCAGCUUCCAUGGCCUGUUGGGUCUUGAGAUAGAAGCUAUUUCCCGCCCGAGGGGAGGAGAAGAUCACAUAAAGGAAACCAGUGAGGAUAUGAAAGGGAACAGGCCAGUACUCCAGGACUGUUGUUCCAAACUUACUCAGGCACCGAGAAAAUUUCUAAAGCCCCUCUAGCCUUUUUUAGAGCUGCUCAAAGAAUAUGGGGCAUGCCUAGGGCCCAGAGAAAAGGGGCAGUGGAGAGGCAGGCUGAAAGAAGCAGGGAGGGUCAGCGUGGGCCACAGGUUAAGACGACUUCAGCAGAUAGAGGCAACCAUCAGAUCCUCUCCACCACGCUCUGGGUCAGCAUACCACAGCUAGCACGGACAGGCUCCUUCACCCCUCGCCAAAGCACUGGGUCUGGCUGCCAUCUUGUGUCUGGCUAUUUUAGACAGCCCCCAACUGGAGUCCCUCACAGUAAAGCCUUACCACAGAAAGAGCAGUCCUGCCAAAGUGCAGGCUUAAGUCCAUGGACGGGGAAGAAAGAGUACUUUCAGACCCCCUUUGGAGUGUGGCUUCCUCAUGACUUCCAAGGCAAGACAUACAUUGGGACAAAGAAAUAGGUUUUCAGGGGGAAACAGGAGACUCAGUGUGGGUACCAGAGAUGGCCACCAUGACCCUGAAGGGACAAUUUUGGAGUGGUUCUCCCCAGGAUGGGAGGCAGGGGGCAGGCAAUGCUUGCACUUCCAGCCCUCAAUUUCCCCACUUGUAGAAUGGGGGGUCAUGGAAGAGUCUACCUGAGAGAAAUGUUGAGGAUUUUACGAGUUAAUUUUUAUAUAGGAUACUUAGAACAGCCAGACACAUCACAAAUGAUAGUAAAUACUAUCACGAUUUCAUGAGACAUUGUCCAUUUACAUGAAAUUCUUGGACUUUGUGGGCACAUAACACAUUUCCUACCGAUGUGACUCUACACUGCUCGAAAAGUAGGCAUUCCAGUUUAAGGAUUUAAUAGUAAUGAGGAGAUUUAAUUCCAGAAUUACAUAUUGGGAUCAUUUUGAAGAACUUUUCCACGAAUGCUUAUUAGAGUGGAAAGGAUACAGAGGCAGGUGUCAGAAGACCGCAGAUAUUUGUUCUAGCAUCUUCCAUAUGCUAGACUUCAAUGGCCACUGUGAUAGAAAUGGUACUUGCAUUAACAGAGCUGAUGACUCAGUUGGGGAGACAAAAGUUUUUAAAAAGUUACAAAUUCGGAUUAGUGCCACCAAGGGGAAAAUUCCCAAGGGGAAGAAUAACAGAGAAGGCAUCUAACUUUAGGUCAUGAAGAUCUUCUCUGAUAAGUUGACAUGAAGCCAACUUUUGGCCACUCAAAAGUGGUUAUGGAGGUGUCUGGGAGGUGGGGGGUAUUCUGGUUUAGAAAAUGAUUUCCUUUCCCAAUCUUAGGCAACCCUGCGAGCAUCAAUUUCUACAUUUGUAAAAUGAAGAUAAGCCUACCUAUCCAACUGACCACAACAGAGCUGAGCCACCUGUCAGCAGUGCGUGGGCAGACUCCCGACUCCACAAGAAUGGAGGGAACUCAAUGCAUCUCAUGGAAGGAAGACCUCACAUUGCCAAGUUGUCAGUCCUCCCCGAAUGGAUCCCUGCCUUUGACCCAAUUCCGAUGAAAAUUGCAGUGAGAGCUUUGUGCACUUGGAAAGGACUUUGAGUACAAUAGAUGCAUCACUGUUUGGAGCAAAGCAAGGUGUGAAGACAAAGGCGAAGGAGGGCAGCGUGAGGCCUCUAACAUCCUACAGAGCCGGGGCAAGCAAAUACCGUGUCUCCACAUUCACUUGCCGCUUCUGAAAAUGGUUUUCCUGUUUUCUGAAAUUCAUCUGCGCGCUCUCUACCCCCGCCCCCCACCAACCUGACCACCCUGUAGAUUAUAAACGAAGGCCUGUAUCCUUCAGUAUAUUGAGUCGGUGAUUUCACUGAAUGAACGUGGCGUUCCAAGUCAGCGAGUAAGUGUACGUCAUACAAUCAUUGGCCCAGAAAUUACAUUAUUAUUAUUUUUAUUAUUAUUAUUUUUCAGUGAGUAAUUACUGAGUGCCUGCUCAGGGGCAAGCUGGGCAUUGUUGUGGGUGUUGCAAACCAGCACGUGAACAAAACAAAUGAAGUCUUUGCUGUCCCAGGGAGCGGCCAGUUUUUAGGGAAGGAGAGGCACAGUGAACUAGGAACCACCCCAGAAGCUGAAUCUGGCUGUGGAGACAGAAGCUGCUGGCUGUGGUCAAGGAAGACUUCUUGGGUUAACUGGGGGCACUUGGGAAGACGCUGGAGGACGUGCAGGUGCAUGCCAUGUUGCUAUCUGGGCGACAACAUUCCGGGAAGUGGGUGUCGCAAAUGAAAAGGAACAACGGGUGGAUUGGCUGCCCGAAGUGGGUCAGUUUUUAUACCUCUUCCUCUGUCCAGUAAUUAGUGUCAGUAAUCGUGUAAUAACUAGAAAUUGUCGUCUUGAUGCCCUCUUUGGUUUUAAAUCAAUUUAAAGAGGUUACAUUUCAUUUUCAAGAUAAUAUUCAAUUUCAGAAAAAUAUUGCAUAAUGACCUUAAUUAUGUAUAUUUGCCCUUCACCCCCCAACCCACCCCCCCAAAAAGAAAACCAACCCCUACAUCUUAAAGAAUCACGCCGUGUUCACCUCUGAAACUAAACACAAAGAACUCCAAGGGGUCAGAUGGAAUGACAGAAUGAAGGAAGUCCUAUUCUGAUCCUUUGACUCUGUAAUCAUUGUGCUAUGGUUGUGUCUUUUGGGUCUAUUAUUUAAAGCUCAAACUCAAAGAAACGUAGGGCAGGGGACUGGAGAGCCCAACUGUGCCCAAAGCAAGCUCCAAUGAUUCUGAACCAUUAUCAACGAAACUGCGAUAUGCUGUCGAUGAAUCCAUGGUUAUGUAGACCUAAUAUUUAUUUGUCUUUGUGUGUACGUGUGUGUGUGCAUGUGUGAGUCUGUGAGCAUGUGUGACCUGCCUGCCUGCUCCCCAACUCUCCAGUAUGUGCCCAGUCCCAGCAUUUGCCAAUCUACAGUGUGCAGAUUUUCCUUAAUCACGUCUGUGGCUGAAGUUAGGUUAAGUCCAGUAGCUCUCAGGGCACUUCCUAGCUUGUGGAAGGUUCUUUGGACCUGUAUUUCUAUGGCUCUGAUGGGAAGAAUGAAAAAUUUAUGUUCAUCAAGCUUAGCUCCCUGAGAUUUUUGUGUUUCAGACUCUCCCACAGAAUUUACUGUGAGGGAGCCUCUUCCUUUCCCUUCCUUUCCUUUCCUUUCCUUUCCUUUCCUUCCCUUCCCUUCCCUUCCCUUCCCUUCCCUUUCUUUUCUUUUCUUCUUCUUCUUCUUCUUCUUCUUCUUCUUCCUUGUUUAUUUUCUUUUUUUUAAAUUCUAUUAUUAUUUUUUUCUUUGUUUAUUUUCGAGAGAGAGAGAGAGACAGACACAGAGCAUAAGUGGGGAAGUGGGGGAGGGGCAGAGAGAGAAGGAGACACAGAAUCUGAGACAGACUCCAGGUUCUGAGCUGUCAGCACAGAACCCAACAUGGGGCUUGAACCCACAAACCGUGAGCUCAUGACCUGAGCCGAAGUUGGAUGCUCAGCCAACUGAGCCACCCAGACGCCCUUUGAGGGAUCUUAUUUCUAUGUCACAUCUUGCAGCUGCUUACCCUGUCCUGUCUUUGCUGGCUUCCCUGGGCUCCUGUUUCCUGGGAGUUUCAGUGCCAUAGUGGAGCAACCAGAUGAACAGAGGUUGUGGGUGAGAGUAUCGUGAUGCCUGCCUCAAGGGCAUCCAUUGUGCAGAAGACAGACAGCCACCUACCGUUCUGUUUGGAUGGAUCCCAACUCUCUGAUUGGGUAGACUUGCAGGGGGUGGGCUAAAUGUUUUCCUUUUCUUUUUUUUUUAAAGACAAUAAAGCAGCAUUAUUUCAUAUGGUUGAAAAAUA